Molecule: ribosomal RNA, 792 nt
Filed under: epsilon proteobacterium T30b-12
Lineage: Bacteria; Pseudomonadati; Campylobacterota
Description: bacterial SSU rRNA
Rfam family: Bacterial small subunit ribosomal RNA
Source: RNAcentral
CAUGCAAGUCGAGGGGCAGCAGGCCGACUCUUCGGAGUUGGUGCUGGCGACCGGCGGACGGGUGCGUAACACGUAGCUACUUGCCCUACAGUGGGGGAUAACCCGGGGAAACCCGGGCUAAUACCGCAUACACCCGAGAGGGGAAAGGCCGUAAGGUCGCUGUAGGAUAGGGCUGCGGCGUAUCAGCUAGUUGGUGGGGUAACGGCCUACCAAGGCGAUGACGCGUAGCUGGUCUGGGAGGAUGAUCAGCCACACUGGAACUGAGACACGGUCCAGACUCCUACGGGAGGCAGCAGUGGGGAAUCUUGGGCAAUGGGCGAAAGCCUGACCCAGCAACGCCGCGUGGAGGAAGAAGCCCUUCGGGGUGUAAACUCCUUUUGCAGGGGAAGAGAGAGACGGUACCCUGUGAAUAAGCUCCGGCUAACUCCGUGCCAGCAGCCGCGGUAAUACGGGGGGAGCGAGCGUUACUCGGAAUCACUGGGCGUAAAGGGUGCGUAGGCGGCUUAGUAAGUUGGAAGUGAAAUCCCACGGCUCAACCGUGGAACUGCUUCCAAAACUGCUAAGCUAGAAUCCGGGAGAGGCCGAGGGAAUUCCUGGUGUAGGGGUGAAAUCCGUAGAGAUCAGGAGGAAUGCCGAAAGCGAAGGCGCUCGGCUGGAACGGUAUUGACGCUGAGGCACGAAAGCGUGGGGAGCAAACAGGAUUAGAUACCCUGGUAGUCCACGCCCUAAACGAUGGGUACUAGUGGUUGGGGGGAAUAGUCCCCUCAGUCACGCAAGCUAACGCGAUAAGUA